ACAUACAACCAUACCUACCAGAAAAUACGGGAUCCCGUCCGCUCUCCCAUAGUCAAGCUGGUAAGGGCUAUUUUAUCUA
Molecule: ribosomal RNA, 79 nt
Filed under: Thermothelomyces thermophilus ATCC 42464
Lineage: Eukaryota; Fungi; Ascomycota; Sordariomycetes; Sordariales; Chaetomiaceae
Source: RNAcentral